AUGGCAGGGAAGCACCGCAUAAGUCGCCAGUACUAUGAGGAACCACGAGGAUUUCGUGAUGGUCCUCCUCCUCGACUUGCACGAGAAAGGUCUAUCUGACCACGUCGCUUCGAGGGAGAGCUGUCUAGCCGCCGUGAUGAGAUACGCAGAAUCCGUGAUGACAACCAACAUCUGAUGGAUGAAAUUGUUGGACUCAGGCAAGCAAUGUCUCAUUUGAAAGAAGAUCUCUAUUCAUCGAGUCAGGCUAUACCUAAGCUCCGCGCAGAGAAAGAACUUGAAUCGAGGGAGCUGACUCAGAGGAAUCUGAAGCUGGAAGCUGAGCUACGCUCUUUAGAACCCCAUAGGCAAGAUGCCUUGCAGCUACGAUCUGAAGCAGGCACGCUGUAGUCUUUGAGGCAAGAGUUGACUGAAAAGGUGCAGGGUCUAGCAAAGGAGGUUGAGCAUCAGAAGUCUGAAAAGCAGCGCAUACCUGCCAUGCUAGCUGAACGAGAUGGUCUGCGACAGGAACUAAUUCGUACCAGGGCCGCUCUUGAUUAUGAAAAGAAUGCAAAGGCAGAGCUGAUGGCACAGGUGCAGGCAGUGGAGAAGGAUCUUGUAACUAUGGCUCAGGAGUCUGAGAAGCUUAGGGCUGAGCUUGAGAAGAGAAAGCCACCUAGUUUCAGCGGCCAUGGAGCUUACGGACCACCUAUGACAACUCUUGGGAUGGGCUUGCAAGACAUCUACGACAGCGGCUAUUCUUACAGAGAGAACCGCUACGGUGCUGGACCAUGGGACCCCCCUGGCUAUCCGCACCCAUGA
Molecule: ribosomal RNA, 798 nt
Filed under: Triticum aestivum (bread wheat)
Lineage: Eukaryota; Viridiplantae; Streptophyta; Magnoliopsida; Poales; Poaceae
Description: partial small subunit ribosomal RNA
Source: RNAcentral